Carya illinoinensis is the source of this 1736-nucleotide long non-coding RNA. RefSeq lists it as uncharacterized. The record is from RefSeq and is a predicted model, not a curated record. NCBI's taxonomy places the organism in Eukaryota, Viridiplantae, Streptophyta, Magnoliopsida, Fagales, Juglandaceae. The transcript is spliced from 7 exons.
CUAACCGGUUGUCACCUUUUAUAACAAGUAUGCAUCCACUGAAGUUGGUUAAUAUUGAGUUGUAAGAAAUUUUGAUUGGGGUCACGCAAAAUCAAGUGAGCCAUGGAGACAUAAGAUUUUUUGGAAUGGGUUUGACCUUUUGCAAACAUCACUCAUUUAAAAAAAAUAUAUAUGUAGAGUAUUUGUGUGAUGCUAGGGUAUGGACAAAUUAGUAAAAUACGUGUGCAAAUUUUGUUCAUUGGCCAAUUAACACUAAUGUGGUGAUGGCGUUGACUUUAAAGGGGUAAUUUUUAGUUUUUUUUUUUUUUUUUUUCCUUUUUUGGUAUGGUUGGUGAUAUAAUGUAUUCUGUAUAUGUGAUUGCAGAGACUUGAAGUCUUAUCUUUCAGAUCUUAGCCUUUUUUCUGGCUUGUGAAAGUAAGAAACCGUAUAGCCUGGUGGACAAUCAGCCAUGGUUGAGAGAUCUGGGCUCAAGACGAGCUCAGCUAUGGCAAUUGAUGGUUACCAAGUCAAGGUUAUCUCCUUUUGCCAACACUAAAGCACGAAGGGACAGAAAGGAAGAACAGGAUUCUUGUUGUAGACCAAACACUAGUAAAUCAGACAAGCUCAAGAAAUGGUUCUCGUUGAUUGACGCGGUAACGUUGUCACAUAAGAGGGUUCUGCUACCUGUUAAACAACUUUGUGAGUCUUCUCUUGUUAGCAACGAGUUGCAUAGGACACUGUAUGGCUUUAUCCUAUUUGAAGUUUCGUGGAACAAUGUCCGAGCAUCAACUACUUGAAUGAGCUUCAGGGAAGGCACUGCUUGCAAAAACACUAGCUCAAUUUGUGAAUGUGCCCUUUGUCAUCGCUGAUGCAACCAGUUUGACACAGGCAGGUUAUUUUAGAGAAGAUCUUGAAUCAAUCUUGUACAAAUUACUUGCGGAUGAUCGAUUUUUGUAACAAGAUACUUGUCCAUUUAAUUUAUGAAGAAGGGAGAUGCUUAUAAAAACAAUUAUCAAGAAGAGGGGUUACUGACGAGAUAUUGCCUCCUUUACUUGAGAUGAAAAUUUUACUGCGGUACAGAGUGUGUGUAUCCAAUUUAUAUGACCCACUGAUCUGAACGUUUGAUCCAAAAGAAAAUUGUUUGUAUAGGAAGAACAGAAAAUUGUAAGCAGCCUGGUUGAGUACUCAAAGAAAAUUGUAAACAGAAAAUUGACAAAGCUGGGACGACAAUGAGAUAUACUCUAUCAAUUCUCUAAAUUUUCAUCCUGCAAGAUUCUGUAUUGCCAUUUGAUCUCUUUGUGCAUCACACUUUUCCAACUGUGGGGUAAGAUGGUGCUUUUAAUUUCUGGGACAAGGACAGUAAACAGAGACUCAAGUGCUGUUAUGUCACGAAGUGCUGCUGCAAGAUGGGUAGAGGAAAGAUUAAGAUCAAGAUGAUCGAGAACGUACUACUAAUUGUCAAGUCACCUUCUGCAAGCGGAGAAAUGAACUCUUGAAGAAAGCUUGUGCUGUUGCUUGCUUGGUAUGACAACAAGGCUUGUGCUGUUACUUGUGCGGUUAGCUUGUGCUGUUACUUGUUUGGUAUGACACCAAGGCUUCCGAAGUGUAACUGUUAGUAGCAUUAUCUUUCAAUAAUCGUGAGCCAUGACUGGAUACAAAACAGAGGUGGCUGUGAUUAUAUAACGUGAACUUGUAUUUUUUAUAUAGAAUGUUUGAGUACCUUUCUUUUUUAAUCAAAGACAAUAGUCGCCGGAAA